This 492-nucleotide ribosomal RNA is filed under the name uncultured bacterium. RNAcentral's name for it is "partial 16S ribosomal RNA". It matches the Rfam family "Bacterial small subunit ribosomal RNA", at positions 29 to 507 of the family's 1533-position model. The record is from RNAcentral.
AGUGAACGCUGGCGGUAGGCCUAACACAUGCAAGUCGAACGGCAGCACAGUAAGAGCUUGCUCUUACGGGUGGCGAGUGGCGGACGGGUGAGGAAUACAUCUGAAUCUACUUUUUCGUGGGGGAUAACGUAGGGAAACUUACGCUAAUACCGCAUACGACCUACGGGUGAAAGCAGGGGAUCUUCGGACCUUGCGCGAUUGAAUGAGCCGAUGUCGGAUUAGCUAGUUGGCGGGGUAAAGGCCCACCAAGGCUACGAUCCGUAGCUGGUCUGAGAGGAUGAUCAGCCACACUGGAACUGAGACACGGUCCAGACUCCUACGGGAGGCAGCAGUGGGGAAUAUUGGACAAUGGGCGAAAGCCUGAUCCAGCCAUACCGCGUGGGUGAAGAAGGCCUUCGGGUUGUAAAGCACUUUUGUUGGGAAAGAAAAGCAGAAGGUUAAUACCCCGCUGUUCUGACGGUACCAAAAGAAUAAGCACCGGCUAACUUCGUG